This is a long non-coding RNA of Corticium candelabrum, 1661 nucleotides long. RefSeq lists it as uncharacterized. NCBI's taxonomy places the organism in Eukaryota, Metazoa, Porifera, Homoscleromorpha, Homosclerophorida, Plakinidae. The transcript has 6 exons. The record is from RefSeq and is a predicted model, not a curated record.
GUGACGUUGGCAGAAGGAACGUGACAUGGUUGUAUUGUUGUUUGCGUUCGUUGACUACUGCGCACCUUGCGACGCCACACCAUUGACGUUGCUGAAGCAGUAGCUGCGUCGUAAUUUUCGAACUCGGGGGCCAUCAAAGCACAUGCGCACAAAGUAGCUAUAGCAGUUCAUAAUUCAGCAGAAAUCUGCGUCAGUGCACUUGCAUCGCAAAAGGAGCUGUUCCAACUUUCAGCUGUUCAAGCAGAGACCUCUUCAAACUGGUGGACACAUAAUACAAUUCUUUCUCAUUUGAAUUGUCAAAGUUGACUCCCAGUAAUCUAAUGUCUUUGCUGUUCAACAACCGAUAACCACUUCAACUGCUGUGAGUGUGAAAUCGGUGAAUGAAGUCAAGGAGGGACUGGGAGGUGUGACAGCCGAUGGGGAUCAACAGCAAUGAGGAGUGGAGAACGUGAAGGAUGAGAAGUCGGCUGUUGUGGAGGACAAAGCAGCAGCAUUGGUUGCUGUCAGACCGUCUGUUCGUGCUUCUACCAACUUGGUUCAAGCACAGGACACAGAGACGCCAAAUUUCCUUGGAGUUGUAAAGGAAGGGAUGACAUCUGACAUGUGCUUUAGGAGCAUCUUUUUCUGCGUGCAGUUUGCCAUGGGAAUGGUCUGCUAACCACAUAAAUCAGGAAUUGAGUAUAGCAAUUGAGUUUUAGAGCAGCAGUUGAAAAAAUUCUUGGACAUGUGAAGAAGAUUGCAUAUAUUUGGAAGGUUGGAUCAAUGAAUGGCAUGUCAAAGUAGUGUCCAGCAAAAUCAUGCCACUAUUCAAGCUGCUAGUGCAACAGCUGUGACAUUUGUUGACCAGUUUACGAUGCUGUAGAAUUCAAUUCUAACCAGUUAUAGUCAUUACCGGUUGGAUAUAAUAAUAUAAAUACACAGACACAGACACACACAUACACACACACACACACACACACACACACACACACACACACACACACACACACACACACACACACACACACACACACACACACACCACAUGUAUAAUAAGCUAGUGUAUACUGAGCACUGAUAACAAUCUGUGGCAUAUCAGUACUGAGUAGCAAGUCAAAUAACAACCAGUUUGUAGUUGUGUGUGUACAAUGUUGCAUUUAGUAACUCUUGCAUACUGCUUCAAGUGUGUUUUAGGGAAUUACGGUUAAUUAGUAAAAUUCACGUACAUAUACCUGGGAGGCAAUGGAUUUGGCUUCAUGUAUUGCUUGGAACUCUCUAAUUCCUUCAAGAUUGAAUACGCCAAAUAGGAAUGCACCGGCUUGAGUGUUGUCUCCAGCCUGCUCAUUGAUUCUUCCAGCCAGAUUUCUGCAGGCAGACUCACUGGGCAUCAUUGGGCUACUGUGUGGGUCGCUAAAGUGAGUGGCUUUGGGCACAGUGAUGAGCUGGCCCUUCUCUGGACUCACUUUGGGAAAGGUCAGUCUCGUACAAUCUUGCCUGUUUAGGUGUCUAGCGGACCUAGAUGCAUUGAAAAAGAAGUAGGCACGUGAUGGAGUGCAGAUUGAGUCUCAUGUACGUGUGCAUAAGUACGGCUUCACUGUCUAACCUGCCCUUGAAUGUCGUAAGAAAAGAGCUCGAAAACUUGGCAAACAUGUCGCGAAAUCGAAAAGAGCGCGAAAGAAACA